Molecule: unclassified non-coding RNA, 503 nt
Filed under: Hevea brasiliensis (rubber tree)
Lineage: Eukaryota; Viridiplantae; Streptophyta; Magnoliopsida; Malpighiales; Euphorbiaceae
Source: RNAcentral
AGAGAGAGAGAGAGAGGAUUUCAUGAGUUUCCGUGUUCAGUCAUCAGUGAAUAUUAGAAGGGGUGUUUGCUUACUGAAUAUUACCAAAUUAGUGGAGGAUUAGCUUUGCUAAUUUUGAAAAAUGUUGCAAAGCUAAUUUGUGACUGGUACUGAUGAACAGCUAUCAUGCAUGUAAUAGUCAUUGAUUCACUGUUGCAUUCUGUGUUCUGGACAUAACAUCUUUAGCUUUGAUAAUGUGAAAUAAGUUUGCUAAAAUAAUAUGACUGGGGGAUUGAUCUCAUAAAGCAUAUUAAUAUGCAGAUUGUCUCAAGUAUUAUUGGAGUUAUCCAGUAAUUUCUAAUUUGUGGUGUCUGAAUUUGUUGUAUGAGAUUUAUUUUAGUUCAGCAUAUUUACUUCAUUUUCUUGAAAAGUUUUCAUAUACACAAAUUGUUAAUUAUUGGGGAGUUUUAUGAAAUGGAACUUGGAAAUUGUUUUCUGCAGAGUUCACAUCCUGUGACAAAAUU